GAAAAGUUUUUGGUUUUCGGAGUGAACUAAACAAGGCCAUAGUAGUAUAUAUAGUCUAUAUGAGCGUACCUUGAGGAAAACAGCGUUUGCUGACGGAAUGCUCUCAAACAUGUCACCAGCAAUGUACUUCACAUUGGUGUCAGUGGGAGCAUUGGUGACAACGUGUGGGAGAUCUAACACGCUGCACUCCACAUGCGGGAACGCCUUCGCGAUGGUCUGGGUAGCACCGCCGAGCCCGCCGGCGACAUCGACAAGGGAGCUAAUCCCCUGAAAGACGUCGCUGCACUCCUUGAUCACGACGUCCAUGAUGAAACUGCUGUCCGCGACCAUCCCGUCGUCGAAGAGCUUGCCGAAGCUUGCGUCGUGGUCGGCAAGGUCCCAUAUAUGCCGUCCAUGCGCUAACUUGAAGGGGGACGGGUCCGGCAACUCGUGCCCGAACCACUCGCCGAGGUCGAAGAAGGAAGACACAAAGACAGUACCGAGCAUCAAGGUCAGGAAUGGAGUCACGGAGUAGUUUGCCGAGUGUCACCCCUCGGCAAAAACAAACACACGAUAAUUCGACGGUUUGCCUAGUGCCAGACACUAGGCAAAUUAUGACACUCGGCAAACUAGCUCUUUGCCUAGUGUUCAGCACUAGGCAAAACUAGACACUCGGCAAAUGUUCCGUUCCAGCAUGCACGGCCCAACCGCCGUUAGGGUUUGCCGAGUGUCUCGUUAGACACUCGGUAAAGUUAUAUUUUUCCUAGUGUUUCUUACUGACACUAGGCAGUGUUUUAUCCUGGUACUAGGCAAAGUUACCAUUUUGCCUAGUGUUUUGCUUGGAUACUCGGCAAAUAUUUUUUGUUUUUUUUGUUUGUGUCUAGCCUCCAAACCUUUUCUCCUAACAUCAUUAGGUAACCUUAACUUUAUGUGAAAGUUUUAUAUCAUUCUCAAUCUAUUUGCUAUAUUUAGUUAAUUUAGCUCAUUUAAUUGAAUUUUUGGGGAUAACUCAAAUUUAAACUGUAGGUGGUUCAAGUAAUUUUAAAAAAUGAAUGGAAAAAUGAUAUUCAUGUUUUUUCAAAUCGAGUAAAGUUCAAAUAUAGGAAGUUACAUCAAAUUUCAAACAUCUUGCUCAUGAAGCAUGAGAACAAUGUUGUGGCCUAGUCGUUUUUAAAUUCUAUAGAAACCAAACAAACUCUAAAAAUCACGAGAUUUCUCAAAAUGUCAUGAUAUCAUAUGUGGAGGUUGUGAUAAAAAAUUGAAAAGAUUUCACGAAAGUUGUCAUGUACAUUGCUUACAAAUCGAAACAUCUCAAAAAAAAGUUUCAUAUAGUUGAGUAGGAUCCGGUAAGAUUCGAUGUUAAAUUUAGUGUUCAGUUGGAGUUUCACUUUAAAACUUUUUUAUAUAGUGAAACUUUUUUGGCCAUAACACUCGGCAAUGGACUGCACUGGACACCUAGAAAAAAUGGUUUGCUGAUUGUCCAGGCCAGGACACUAGGCAAACCUGAUGGUGGCUUUGCCAAGUGUACAGGACACUAGGUAAACAUGAUAGCUUUGCCGAGUGUCCUAUCCAAGACACUAGGAAAACUUGGUACUUUGCCUAGGCCUUGUUUAGUUCCAAAAUUUUUUGCAAAAUAGGAAUAGUAGCACUUUCGUUUAUAUUUGACAAAUAUUGUCUAAUCAUGAACUAACUAGGCUCAAAAGAUUCGUCUCGUCAAUUUCGACUAAACUGUGCAAUUAGUUUUUAUUUUCGUCUAUAUUUAAUACUCCAUGAUGCGUCUAAAGAUUUGAUGUGACGGGAAAUCUAAAAAAUUUUGCAAAAUUUUUUGGGAACUAAACAAAACCCAAGUGUCCCAAGAAAGACACUCGGCAAACUAUUUUUUUUUAAAAUGUCUUUGCCGAGUAUUUGGCUGUAGACACUCGGCAAACCGUGAUCUUCCGUCAGGUUUGGCGUGAUGGCUACUUUUGUUUGCCGAGUGUCAAACGGGCACUCGGCAAAGGCUUUGCCAAGUGCACGAAAAAAGACACUCGGCAAAGCAGUUUGCCGUUAUCUUUUUUUUCGUCUCCGCUUUGCCGAGUGUGGCACUCGCGAAACGGUUUCCCGAGUGUUUUUUGCCGUUUGCCGAGUGCCUUAGACACUAGGCAAAACGUGUGAUUCCAGUAGUGAAUGGAGCUCUCACAGUACAGGUAAUCGCAGAAUUCUUCCGCAUCUAGAGGAUGUUGAGACUGCUACAACUAAAUCUAGGAAUGCCGGACAUCAUUCCCUAGCGGUUCUCAGGAGAUGGCAACUACUGGCUCUCGGCUUCAACUUAUGGGGCAAUGUUUUUGUGCUCCUCCAGACCACUUGGCGCCCAUGAGAUUUGGAAGACGGCUGCACCGCCUAAAGUGCGUCACUUCUUCUGGCUAUGGCUAGUACUACACGACCGCUGCUGGACGGCAGAACGCCGGUUUUGACUACAUUAUCUGUGUUUAUAGCAGGGAGGUCUGGGGUCUGGCAGAUGCUGCUUCUCCAUUUACAGUGGGUGGACUCCAUCGUGGUGGCGGAGGAAGGGGUGCUAGGCUGGUGGCUACGCAGUAGGAAGUUUAUCGCCAAGCAGGUCGGAACGUUUGGUGGAGCGCCUACUUCGCCAACAGUGCUAGCUAGCAAGAUCUUUGAAGAAGCUAAAGAGUGGUCUGUUGCUGGUUACCGUAGCUUAGCGGUGCUUCUUGCAGCUUUGCGUUCCACCUGACAGACAGUAGUGCUUUCUUUUGUUUUUCUCUGAGCCUCGGUGUGGUAUUUUGCUGUGUCGUUAGGUUGGCAUUGGUAACCUCUUGAUUACCAAUGCUCUUUUGUAUUUUGUUCCCUUAAAACUCUCUUCUAGCUUAAUGAAUUCCGUGCAACGCACGUUCGAGAAAAAAAGACAUUGGUACUCUACUAUGCACUUACUCAGACGAGCGAAUGAAUUCUAGAUUGUCCUUUCUCAAAAGAUUGUUGGGCCACUCUUGGGUUGGUGAUUCAGAAUCCUUCAGAUCCGUUUGGUACUCUGCAUUCUUUCCGACAAUAGCUGUAGGUCCUCUUCUUCAUGGAGAUUAUAGUAACCAUGUCAUGGUCUAUCUGGACAAAAAGAAAUGAUGCAAUCUUCAAGUAUGUUCAGCCCUCAAAUGCUUCCUGCAAGUCUACUUUCAGACGAGAAUUUGUUCAAGUUAUCCUUAGAGCAAAAAGUAGCUUAAAACCGAGGUUUGCUCAAUGGCUAGAAGCUUAUGUGUAAUUCUGCAUUGAUUCCUUUUUUUUGUUUCAUGAUCAUACUCUGUAAGAACCGUUUUUUUGUGUUUAAUAAAAGCCCAGUAGAAGGAGCACCGCCGCCUGUUACCAUAAGAAAAAGUUCUCGUGUCAUCCUCGAUGCCGGUGACCUCCACUCAUCCAUCUUCGUUCCUCACCUUGGUAACCUUUCCCUUCCUUCCUUUCUCCCUUUCAACAAAAGCACCAUGUUCUCUCUCUCCUACCAGGCGGCGACAACCCAUUCGGCGCAGGCGGCGCCCCAGCAUGGGCACAUCCAUUUGGCGACGCCUUGGCGCAGGGAGCGCGAGUGGACAGAGCACAGGAUGACCGAUGCAUCUCAGUGUGGAGGCGGCCCUCGCUUGGCAGUGAGCCCAUGGUGCUAGUGCGGCAUCUCUGGUGUUGACGGCUAUUUUCUUUUCUUAAAGUGAUUUUCACCGGCGGGUGGAUAUGUGUCCAACUGUGAUAUCAAUUUGUCACCGUAAUGUGCUUACUCAAGCCGGCGGUGAAAUGAACUUAUCACCGCUAGUUGCAAACACUCGAUCAUAAUAACCUCUAUUGCUGAUUAUCACUAAUAAGUUGACGAUGGGGUCUGCCGACCCAACGGUGAUGAAGAAUCAAUACUAGUGAGAGUCGAUCUAAUUGCAAGGGUCGGACGCUAAUUGUAUCGCUUUGUAAUCAACCUUAGUAGGACGCCGCUAAGAGGUCGUGACUUUUUUUUUGGCUCGCCCUUUCUGCUCGACGAAUGCUGGCAAUUGGCCGGUGUUUGUCUGAUUGGAUUGUAAAAAAACUUUUGUCUCCUCUAAUGAAAUACGUGUGUAGCGCGUUCUUAAAAAAAAUUCAAAUUGCUAGAAUAUGAUUAUUGGAAUGAGAUUCAGUUCCAGGGAGCCAAACAACUCCUAUUAUAUUACAAGAAAAACAAUGUUAUGAUAUGGUAAAAUAUUAUUCCUUACCCAUAUGUAUGAUAUAUCAGCCAAAGUCCAGUACGAAAACGGGAGAACCCCAGCCAAACACCCAAUACGUGUAAAGAUUCCUCUCCUGUUAUCCUUGCUCUGUGCUCAUUCGGCCAGCUGUCGCUUUCACUCCACUGGACGUGUGAUGUCCCUAGCUAAUGCAUUUUCCAUCGUAUAUGGUGCGCCCACAUGUUCAACAUGUGUCCCUUACAUAAUGCGCAAAGGUCUCUGUUUCACGAUUAUUAGUUCUCCAUUAACAUGACAUGUCACGGCGAGAUGACAAGAUACGAUUCGGCCACCUUGUGAGUUGUGAUGGCAAUCAUUCGAACAAAGGAGUGUACUAUCGCUGAUCUGGAGUUGGGUGCUCGCGUGAAAUUCGUGCACGCCGGAGCAUUUCCAUGUGAUGACUGGAGUAGAAUCCAACAAGUAGGCAAAUCAUAUAUAGUGUCAACAUCUCAAAGAUUAUCAGAGCGCUCAAUCACCAUAAACACGACGAGUCUAUAACUCUAUAUGGACGCGUUUUGCACCCAAGAUGCUAUAACAAUUGGAGCAGAUCAACACUACUAGCUCUAGCUCUGCGCCAUGGCGCCCGUCAAGGCGCAAGACGCGAGCACUGACCAGCAGACUAUGCUUGAUGCUCAGCUCCAGCUCUGGCACCACACCUUCGGCUACAUCAAAUCCAUGGCGCUCAAGGCCGCGCUAGACCUCCGCAUCCCCGACGCCAUCCACCAGCAUGGCGGCUCAGCCACCCUCCCACAGAUAGCCACCAAGGCCACGCUCCACCCGUCCAAGAUACCAUGCCUGCGCCGCCUCAUGCGCGUGCUCACUCUGACCGGCGUCUUCAGCGUCGUCCACGACGGCGCCGGCGACGAGCCUGUUUACGGGCUCACGCCGGCGUCUCGUCUUCUGGUCAGCUCGGGGCGCCUGUACAACCGUAUACCGGUAUCUCCUAAAAAAUGUCUCACUAGUACACAAAAUUUAAUGAAGACAAUCACUUUUGAUUAUUGGAGACGGGCAUAUGUAACCGUCUCCAAUGAAAGAUCAUGGUUAAUGCACAAACCAUGAAGGUCACGGUUAAUCGAUAUGAAAAAAAACAAAAAAAGAAAGAAAAUCACGUGGAUAGGCCAACCGUUCCCAUCCACAGGCCCGCCAAACCCAUCCACAUGUGGCUGCCGCCGCUCUGCUCACAGGAUUCGGGCCGCCAUCGGAGAAGAUCGGGCCCUGCGCGUGGCGCCGAAGGAGAAGACCGAGCAAUGGCGGAGAAGGAGAUCCACGCCGCCCGCGCUAGAGGAGAACCACGCCACCAGCACCAUGCGCUGGAUCCACCGCUGCCACAAUCGCUGCUGGAUCUUGCUGCCACUAUCAUUGCCGGAUCUCACGCAGGCCCCCGCCCCGGAUCCGCCAUUGCCAAGUGCCAUUUGGCCGCGGCCCCCGGGAGCACGCGAGCUCCACCUUUGGCGCAUGUGGACCUCGCCUGGGUGAUCGGCUCCUGCCAUUGGACCCUCUGUUGGGGGAGCACGACUACCAUGGCCUGGGCAGAGGUGCACGACCCUCACCUAGGUGAGCGGCUCUCGCUUGCUUCCUCAGAUGCGCCGCCAGGAGAGAGUGUGUGGAGGGAGGGAUGACGCAUCUGCCGAGGGAGACUGAGAGGCAGGCUACCGCAUCUGAGAGGGGAAGAGGUAGAGAGACUGAUGAGUGAAGUCAAAACCCAAACUGGUUGUAUAUAUACGAGGAGCGAGUUAUUGGGCCAAGAUAUGGGUUGCAUGGGCCACUAUUUUUGGAGGUGAGACCUUAUAGUGUGACUGCCUCCAAAAAAUAAUUUAUGGAGGCGGGUAUGUUAAGACAACCACCUCCAAAAAUAGAUUAUUUUUAGAGACGGUUGUCUUUAGCUGACCGCCUCUAUAAAUCUAUUUUUUGGGGUGGGCAAAAGUGUCUGCCUCGGUAAAUAAAAAAUGUCCACCUCCAUUAAUCGUAGACAUUAACUAAGACGGUUAAAUUUUGUGAUCGUCUCCAUUAAUGAAAAUAUACCGUCUUGCAAAAUUAUUUGUGUAGUAGUUUAUACUAGUAUGUUUAGACAAAUACACCAUCGCACACCUUCCUUCCGGCGGUGAUCAAAUCAUUUUAUUACACGUUGUUGAGGACUGUAUUCUAAGAACUUUAAGACACACGGCAAAACACUUCUUCACACGCUUACAUAGUAGAUUUCUAUGGAUAGACCUCGAUAAUCGAUCGAACACCUAGAACAGGUAUGAUCUUGUAAGAGCUAAAUCCAGCUUCAAAAAUAAUCUUCUUCCACUCUAGCUCAUCUCGCUCGGCACCAUUGAUAAACAUCAUAAAGAGAUCAAACAAGAUUUGCGUCUCCACAUGCUUCUCGUCGGACGACCCUGCUCCAACCACCAUAUCCAAUAUUACCACCUUUCCUCCUUGAGAUGCUAUGGCUUUCUUGCAGUUCUUCAA
This 6644-nucleotide long non-coding RNA is filed under the name Sorghum bicolor (sorghum). RNAcentral describes it as "long non-coding RNA (SBIC_LNC016745)". The record is from RNAcentral. Lineage: Eukaryota; Viridiplantae; Streptophyta; Magnoliopsida; Poales; Poaceae.